This is a long non-coding RNA of Meriones unguiculatus (Mongolian gerbil), 1297 nucleotides long. RefSeq lists it as uncharacterized. The transcript is spliced from 4 exons. Lineage: Eukaryota; Metazoa; Chordata; Mammalia; Rodentia; Muridae. The record is from RefSeq and is a predicted model, not a curated record.
UCCCAGCCAGCGCCACCUCCACUCGGGCCCCUUAAAUCUCCCACCCCAACAGCACUGUUCCUGGCGCGUAGUAGGCUUUUCUUGGGGGUGGGGUGCUGGGAUGUGUCUAUUGGCUCGCCCUCCUCGUCCGUGGGGGUCACUGCCCUAUAGUACACCGGGUUCCGGGCUGAGAGCCGAAAAAAAGACUGAAACCGACCAUCCCUGGCCAUAAUUACCAGCGUUCCUCCAGGAGCGCUGGUCUUGGAGGCCCUCACCUCCCACUUUUGGUUACCUGCUCCUAAGACAGGCCCCGUGAAGGCCCCUGUAAGGGCCUGGGGAAGGCUUUGACCUCGCUUUCCUUGAAUAGGACCUCCCAAGGGAGCGCCUUCCACAAUCACUUCACUCUGUAUGUCACCUGCACAGCUCCUGCUCCCUUAGGUGUCCAGGAUCCGGCUGGGCUCUGCCCACACUGCUGGCAAGGGUGUGUUAGGAUGAACACGGAGUACUCCGAGCCCCAGGGGCACCCUCCCCCCUUCCUUGAUCCUUGAUCUCAGAGGCUGACAGACAGAAGUGAAUUCAAAAUGUCAGUGCUGGCAACACCUUGGAAUUUGGAGGGUUGUAAGACGGUUGCUGAAAACGCCAGACAUGGAGUGCAGAGGUGAUGUGCCUGGAGGCUGCAGAAAGCCCAUCUCCCUGUCUAGAUCUGUGGAAGUGUUUCCAGAACCUGCUUCUAGGUCUGAGCAGCCAAAGUUCAGCCACACGCUCAUUCCUGUAACUCCCAGCCGGGGCAAUGAGGGCUCCUUGCCUGGCAGGCAUCAUGUACAUCUGGAAUCCCAGCAUUCAGGAGGCUGAGGCAAGAAGAUUGCUAGUUUAAGGCCAGCCUGGGCUACAUAGUGAGAGCCAGAGAGUGGGGAGCUAGCUCGGCAAGUAAACUGUUCCCUGUAUAAGCGUGAGGACGUGCAUUUGAUUCCCAGAAACCACAGAAAGAGCUGCUGUGGUUCUAUCACUGGAGAGAUGGGGCUGGCCAACCAGCCUGCCUGAAUCAGCGGCACAUCCCAACUAAAGACCCUGUCUCCAAAACCACGGUAGAUAGCGUCUGGGGGAGCAACACCUGAGGCUGACUUCUAGCCUCCCCGUGUGUGCACACUCACACAUAUAUGUUCAUCCACAUCCACACACGUACACACACAUAAUCAAACCAACCAAAAUGAAUGUUGUUAACUUAUGAAAGUCAGUCCACUGUCAGGCACCUUGCAGGUGUCUUUUUCUGAUCUCUAAUUUUUAUCUUGUAAUUUAUUUAUAAAGUUUUCCCUUCUAA